CCUACGGGGGGCAGCAGUCGAGAAUCAUUCACAAUGGGGGAAACCCUGAUGGUGCGACGCCGCGUGGGGGAAUGAAGGUCUUCGGAUUGUAAACCCCUGUCAUGUGGGAGCAAAUUAAAAAGAUAGUACCACAAGAGGAAGAGACGGCUAACUCUGUGCCAGCAGCCGCGGUAAUACAGAGGUCUCAAGCGUUGUUCGGAAUCACUGGGCGUAAAGCGUGCGUAGGCUGUUUCGUAAGUCGUGUGUGAAAGGCGCGGGCUCAACCCGCGGACGGCACAUGAUACUGCGAGACUAGAGUAAUGGAGGGGGAACCGGAAUGCUCGGUGUAGCAGUGAAAUGCGGAGAUAUCGAGAGGAACACUCGUGGCGAAGGCGGGUUCCUGGACAUUAACUGACGCUGAGGCACGAAGGCCAGGGGAGCGAAAGGGAUUAGAUACCCUGGUAGUC
RNAcentral lists this ribosomal RNA (446 nucleotides) under uncultured bacterium. Its description in RNAcentral is "partial 16S ribosomal RNA". It matches the Rfam family "Bacterial small subunit ribosomal RNA", at positions 338 to 795 of the family's 1533-position model. The record is from RNAcentral.